Helicoverpa armigera (cotton bollworm) is the source of this 702-nucleotide long non-coding RNA. RefSeq lists it as uncharacterized. Lineage: Eukaryota; Metazoa; Arthropoda; Insecta; Lepidoptera; Noctuidae. The transcript is spliced from 3 exons. The record is from RefSeq and is a predicted model, not a curated record.
GUAGGUAUUGCCCUUCAUUGCAAGAAAAUAAUUAAACAGAAGAAAAAUAUUUAACAAAGCUUAAUUGUUGCAGGUUCUUUGUUCGGGUCCUGCUUAGGUCAUUAACAACAUUACUAACCACUGUUAGCAAAUUUUUUAAGCAAUUUGUUUUUGCAGUGAAUACAAGGGGAUUCUAGUCAUGCGUUAGGGUCUUGACUCAUGACAUCAAUAAGAAUGCUGAUAAUGUGUCACUAUCAGGUGCCUAUACUACAACUCUUCCCGAAGAAAGGCAGAAAGAGAGACACACUAAUGACCUUAGCGGUAGCUUACUACAAGCUGCAACUCACAGAAGAGCAACUAUUAUGAAUAUCUUUGUAUAUCAACAGUAUUCAACAGUUCUUCAAACCAUACAGACAGAAUUGAGUUGCUGGGGAGUUUGUUCCACCGCUUCUGCUGCUGAUUUUCAGCCUAUUUUGAAUAAAUGACUUUAUCUGUAGCCUUAAUUUUAUGUAAAUAAACCUUUACCUCUGUGUAAAUGAUUGUCUCAUUUUAUUUUUUAUCUUAAGAGUUGUUGCUUAUAUCACACAAGCAACAAAUAGGUACUAUAAUUAUUAUUGCCAUAAUUAUACUUUGAAAACAAAGCAUGAGAGUUUUGCUAGAAUGAAACCAACAAGUCUGGAGAACUAUUACUAGUAAAUGAAUAUUAUUUAAAGACACUUACUA